This 252-nucleotide ribosomal RNA is filed under the name uncultured bacterium. RNAcentral describes it as "partial 16S ribosomal RNA". It matches the Rfam family "Bacterial small subunit ribosomal RNA", at positions 524 to 776 of the family's 1533-position model. The record is from RNAcentral.
UACGGAGGGGGCUAGCGUUGUUCGGAAUUACUGGGCGUAAAGCGCGCGUAGGCGGACCUGCAAGUCGGGGGUGAAAGCCCGAGGCUCAACCUCGGAACUGCCUUCGAUACUGCGGGUCUCGAGUCCGGGAGAGGUGAGUGGAAUUCCUAGUGUAGAGGUGAAAUCGUAGAUAUUAGGAAGAACACCAGUGGCGAAGGCGGCUCACUGGCCCGGUACUGACGCUGAGGCGCGAAAGCGUGGGGAGCAAACAGG